GGCUACGGCCGCAUUGUCGAGCCACAUCAGUACUGAGGUUGGAGACAACUUGGGAACCUGUGGUGCUGUAGUCU
RNAcentral lists this ribosomal RNA (74 nucleotides) under Naegleria gruberi. Lineage: Eukaryota; Heterolobosea; Eutetramitea; Acrasida; Naegleriidae. The record is from RNAcentral.